UAACCUACGGGAGGCAGCAGUGGGGGAUAUUGCACAAUGGGGGAAACCCUGAUGCAGCGACGCCGCGUGGGUGAAGAAGCGCCUCGGCGCGUAAAGCCCUGUCAGCAGGGAAGAAAAUGACGGUACCUGAAUAAGAAGCACCGGCUAAAUACGUGCCAGCAGCCGCGGUAAUACGUAUGGUGCAAGCGUUAUCCGGAUUUACUGGGCGUAAAGGGAGCGCAGGCGGCGCGCCAAGUCUGAUGUGAAACCCCGGGGCUCAACCCCGGGCAUGCAUUGGAAACUGGCGGGAUGGAGUGCCGGAGAGG
RNAcentral lists this ribosomal RNA (305 nucleotides) under uncultured bacterium. RNAcentral describes it as "bacterial SSU rRNA". It matches the Rfam family "Bacterial small subunit ribosomal RNA", at positions 333 to 657 of the family's 1533-position model. The record is from RNAcentral.